UACGAAGGGGGCUAGCGUUGCUCGGAAUCACUGGGCGUAAAGCGCACGUAGGCGGAUUGUUAAGUCAGGGGUGAAAUCCUGGAGCUCAACUCCAGAACUGCCUUUGAUACUGGCGAUCUCGAGUCCGGGAGAGGUGAGUGGAACUGCGAGUGUAGAGGUGAAAUUCGUAGAUAUUCGCAAGAACACCAGUGGCGAAGGCGGCUCGCUGGCCCGGUACUGACGCUGAGGUGCGAAAGCGUGGGGAGCAAACAGG
Molecule: ribosomal RNA, 253 nt
Filed under: uncultured bacterium
Lineage: Bacteria
Description: partial 16S ribosomal RNA
Rfam family: Bacterial small subunit ribosomal RNA
Source: RNAcentral